RNAcentral lists this long non-coding RNA (3072 nucleotides) under Anas zonorhyncha (Eastern spot-billed duck). RNAcentral describes it as "lncRNA (ENSAZOG00000019129.1)". The record is from RNAcentral. Lineage: Eukaryota; Metazoa; Chordata; Aves; Anseriformes; Anatidae.
GUGAGGGAGAAACUGAAUUUAAAUGGAUUAAGGCUGUCUGUCCAAAGUCCUUUUGUUUCCUGCCACCUCCCUGGUGUGACUUUCACAGCUGUGCUCUGUGUGGCUCAGGGCCUGGCUUCAGGCUCCCUGCAAAGCCAGCACAGAGCUUUGCACCCCCGGGGCAUUUCCCAGAGCAGCUGGAGGAGGGCCCGGGAGCCAGCGCCCUAGGACAGAGAAAACCUUUUGAUUUUUCUAACGUCUUUCCUGUUCUCUCUGUAGGUGACGGCCUCAUGAAUUGAUGUCUCCAGCAUCAGCCCAGUGGGUGACAAAUGGGAAGGCAUCCCCAUCAGGCAGGUGAAUUCACAUUGCUCCCAGUGAUUCCUGUCCUCGUGGUCCGAGUAGAUGCUGGAGGUGAUUUGGAAGAGGUGAUUUCUUGGCUAGGACUAAUGGAGGAACUCAGGGACACGCAGGCCCUUUUUAAGUCGCAACUAACGACAUCAGCCCUUGACUGGGAUCAGCACAUGGCUCCUCUUUCCGCACCAGGAGACCAGGGGAAUCCCUCCUGCAAGGUUUGGAGUUCACGACUCAGCAGUCUGUGCAGCAGCUGGGAGGCCACAGCCCCCAGGAAAAAUGAAUCCAGCUUCCCCGCUUGGUGCCUUUCUGCACGAGCAGGUUACUGGGGGGGUUGGGGGACUGGUAAAUGCAGAAAUGUACUUACACCUCUCAGGAUCCAUGGGCAUGGCUGAGAGAAACAACUUCUGAUGGGGAAGGGCUCCCUGAAAACCCUGAGCAGAGCAAUCUAGGCGGUAGCUCAGGUGUGCUCCAGCAGCCAGGCCCUGGGUUUCAAAUGGGGAGCACUCGUGACAUGAAUGGGUUCAAGUCAGGAAGAGCCUUCGCACUGACAGUGGGCUUACAGGAAUGAGUUAAAAUCAUUUUGUUUGCUUUGUGAAAUUUAUUAAAAACUACAUUGUUCAUCUGCUGAAACUUCACAGCUGUUGAGAUUGCCCUCAGGGCAAACCACAUCCAAGAAAUGGCAUGUAGAUCUUGGGAGCACAAGACUUGAAAGCUGAAACUGCGCUCUGCAGCGCUGCCUUCGCUUCCCGUGCAGUCCUGUCGAGCCAUCUGCGGCUCCUCCAGUUCAACACCACAAUUCUUAAUUCCUCCCUGUUCUCAUCUCUGACUCUGCAGUGGAGUCAACCCUGCGGUGCAAGUACUUCAUUUCAAAGCCUUGUGUUUUGGCUAAAAAGGGACAGAGGAAAGAUGCAGGUGGCAAGAGAUCAGUGUGGGAAGUGGGUGCUCAGAGCCCGUGGCGUUCAGUGCGAGGUGCAGCCACGCGCCGUGCUGCAGCAGAUGUGCCAUCGGGUAUCACCUCCCUCUGACGUUACUGCUUCAUUGUCCUGCGGAGGAGCCAGCAGAGAGGCAACACUGGAGAAAACGAGCCCACGUGCUCAUGAAAAAUCUGUGAAUUCCUUGUAGUGGCAGCAGCUUGCUCGAUUUUGUAUUGUCAGUUGCAACUUGUUUGCAAAAAACUUCACAGGAUAAAAAAAGUAGGGCUUGCAUAUUUAGGUCUGACUUGAAAGCUCUGUGCAGACUUGGGGAGACUGAAAUCAACCACUCAGCACAAGCAAAAUUAGGGCCAGCCAGGGCUCAAAGAUACAAAUACAAACAGGACAUGAGAAACCCACUGACUGCAAUCUAUUCAGUCAUAAAUGAUUCACGGAGUAAUUUUGAGUAACAAACACAUUGGUAAGAACUGGAGGUUUUGUUUCUUUUUUUUUGGGAUGGCCCACAAACAAAAACAUUGGCUAAUUCAUCAGACGCUUUCUUUUUUCUUUGAAUAGUUUGCCCAGAUCCCUGAGCAACCACCCCGUGCAAUUUGCUGUUAACCUAAAUAACUCGAAUUCAGGUACACCCAUAGCACUGCCCAGAUCUGCCCAUGCACGCAGUAAUUAGGGCACUCCAAGCGCCAACCUGUAGCUGGGGAGGCAGGAGGCUCUGCAGGCAUCUCCCGGUGGCUACCUGCUGGUGGAAGGGAUGCGCCGCGCCGCCACGUCCCUCCCUGCAGCCGCCUGGAGAAGGCUUUGUGGGAACCUGGGGGUGGCACCGUGCCCUCAGCAGCCGCCCUGCGAGACUGGGAAAGAAAGGGCGGCCGUCUGUGGCCCCGAUGGAGGGGAAGGAGACGUGUGAGAGACCCGUGGAGGCAGAGCGUUGCAUUCCUUACCUGUGAAAUAACCCCGUGAAGUCCAAAUGCUCGGGGAAUUCCUAGAUCGCUGUAGCAACAUCUCAGCGGUGACAGUGUGAGGAUUUAAGUGAGGCUGGCUCCGAAGGGGGAGAUUGUUAUCGGCUUUCAGACCAAGAGGGAAAGCAGUGGGAAAAACGAGACCCACUUUUUACAAACCUUGUCCUCCCCGAUCCUGCUGCUAACUGGAGGGGGCAGCCAGCGUGCUGAGUUACUCAGAAAGGACCAUUUUUGACUGAAUCGUUCCAGAACUAGUCAGGAAUUAAGUUAACUGCUGCCUUUCAGAUUUAUGGGUCCCUUAAUCCUAAAUUACCUUUUAAGUGUAAGCAAACCCUAAUACCUGUUAUGUGAGGAGGGAUCUUCUGGGGCAGAAGAGAGAGGCAGAAACAAGUUACCUGAUAGAACCAGAGAUAAUAUUUAAGCUGAAAAAUAGAGGGAAUUAGCAGGUUUGGGCCCUGCUGUGGGGAUGCUCAGCUGCAGACGGGCUGUGUGAAACAACCCCCAGAGGUAGAGGCUGCCAGCAGGGCUGUGCUGAGGGACUGGGUGCUGCUGGAGCGGGACCUGGGCACAGGGCUGUGGGCACAGGGCUGAGUGGGGCUGUGCCCGCAGAGCCUGGUCGGGCAGACACACCGAAUUACCUCAUUAGCAAAGCGUCGGUGGCCAGGCUGCUCAGCACCUGCCCUUCCUCACAGCAAGGAACGACUUUAUCUAAUUAACCAAAGCGAAGGGUCCCAGAGGAGCAGCUUAAAGGGACACCCUCAGCUUGAAGCCCAGGCACCCUCAGCAAGUUGUGUGCGUGGUGGGACCAGGCAGCCUUGAUUUCCCAGGGCUGGAUGUCUCGCAUCCCCUACACC